AACGAGACUCUCACCUACGAUAACGACGGGCCGCACGGGGUGUCGAAGACAGCCCUCCAGUUCUCAGCUGGCGUUCUGCGAGCUCUUCCGGAUAUAGUAGCUAUCACUGCUCCUUCAGUCCUAUCAUAUCAACGCCUCAUCCCCCAGAGGUGGUCUGCA
RNAcentral lists this non-coding RNA (159 nucleotides) under Lotharella oceanica. The record is from RNAcentral. Lineage: Eukaryota; Cercozoa; Chlorarachniophyceae.